GGCCAAUUGAAAAAAAAGUAACGGGCACUAUGGUUCAUUUAUAACUGACGCAUUUGAGUAUAGUGUUACCUAUUUUUAAGUAAUAAUGCUAGGAAGUGGUAUUAUAAUUGGAAGAAAUUUUCUAAUCAUUCUGUUAACAUGUCCCACUUGCACAGCGAUGAUAACUAUUAGUCCACAUUACUGAAUACAUGCAAGUCAUAGACAAUUAGAUAUUGCUUGUCAAGGAAACAAACACAUUACUGGCUGCUGCUGCUAUGUUUGCAGGCAAAAGAAGAAGCAGAGUUGC
This 286-nucleotide unclassified non-coding RNA is filed under the name Hevea brasiliensis (rubber tree). The record is from RNAcentral. Lineage: Eukaryota; Viridiplantae; Streptophyta; Magnoliopsida; Malpighiales; Euphorbiaceae.